Molecule: ribosomal RNA, 508 nt
Filed under: uncultured bacterium
Lineage: Bacteria
Description: bacterial SSU rRNA
Rfam family: Bacterial small subunit ribosomal RNA
Source: RNAcentral
CCUACCGGAGGCAGCAGUGAGGAAUAUUGGUCAAUGGGCGGAAGCCUGAACCAGCCAUCCCGCGUGAAGGAAGACAGCCUUACGGGUUGUAAACUUCUUUUCUGUCAGAAGAAUAAGCUUGUCGAGACGAGUGAUGCCGGUACGACAGGAAUAAGCAUCGGCUAACUCCGUGCCAGCAGCCGCGGUAAUACGGAGGAUGCAAGCGUUAUCCGGAUUUAUUGGGUUUAAAGGGUGCGCAGGUUGUUUGAUAAGUCAGUGGUGAAAGUCUGUCGCUUAACGGUAGGAUUGCCAUUGAUACUGUUGGACUUGAAUAUGGAUGAGGUAGGCGGAAUGUGUAGUGUAGCGGUGAAAUGCAUAGAUAUUACACAGAACACCGAUUGCGAAGGCAGCUUACUAAUCCAUCAUUGACGCUGAGGCACGAAAGCGUGGGGAUCAAACAGGAUUAGAUACCCUGGUAGUCCACGCCGUAAACGAGGAUCGCAACUCAAAUGAAUUGUCGGGGAACGAA